GUGGGGAAUCUUGCGCAAUGGGCGAAAGCCUGACGCAGCCAUGCCGCGUGAAUGAUGAAGGUCUUAGGAUUGUAAAAUUCUUUCACCGGGGACGAUAAUGACGGUACCCGGAGAAGAAGCCCCGGCUAACUUCGUGCCAGCAGCCGCGGUAAUACGAAGGGGGCUAGUGUUGCUCGGAAUUACUGGGCGUAAAGGGCGCGUAGGCGGACAGUUUAGUCAGAGGUGAAAGCCCAGGGCUCAACCUUGGAAUUGCCUUUGAUACUGGCUGUCUUGAGUACGGGAGAGGUGAGUGGAACUCCGAGUGUAGAGGUGAAAUUCGUAGAUAUUCGGAAGAACACCAGUGGCGAAGGCGACUCACUGGCCCAAUACUGACGCUGAGGCGCGAAAGCGUGGGGAGCAAACAGGAUUAGAAACCCGGGUAGUCC
RNAcentral lists this ribosomal RNA (425 nucleotides) under uncultured bacterium. RNAcentral's name for it is "partial 16S ribosomal RNA". It matches the Rfam family "Bacterial small subunit ribosomal RNA", at positions 354 to 796 of the family's 1533-position model. The record is from RNAcentral.